Rattus norvegicus (Norway rat) is the source of this 2535-nucleotide non-coding RNA. The record is from RefSeq and is a predicted model, not a curated record. NCBI's taxonomy places the organism in Eukaryota, Metazoa, Chordata, Mammalia, Rodentia, Muridae.
CCCAUCCCUCAGGCAACACAGACAGUUGCAAAGGAAGAGGAAACAUUCACCAUGCUUUGGAGGGAGAGAGAGCCACCAGCCAUGUGAGAUCUAGGGUGGAGUGGCCUUCCCUGACUGAGCCUGGGGUAGCAGGGACACCAUUCUAUGGUUAGAUUCCACCAUCUUGAAUAUCAGAGAGAAAUUUUGAGUAGAGAGAGGAGGGGUGGAUUUCCUUCCUCCCCCAGGAGGAACUGAGAACAGCUCCUGACUGACCCUGUGAGGAGCUUGACAGCUGGAGAAUAGGCCUUCUCUCUGCUUGGGCUUUAGCCAGCACUCAGGUCCUUUUAGGAGAGCCCCUUGGGGCCUGGGUGGGCAGCUGCUUUGCUUUGGUGCCACUUUCUGGGCAAAAGAUUCAGUGUUUGGAUUUUUAUUAGCCAAUAAAGUUAAGGGGGAAACGCUGGGGGAAAAAAAUCCCAGCACACUGUUGUUACUCUUAUGAAUGAGUAACACAGCUCGCAACUAGACUAUUAAUGUCUAAAUGGGUUUUCUGUGCUCCAAGCCAAAACACAUUUCAUAAAGUUACACAGAGAUGGACUGCAUCCCAGUUAAUAAAAACAGUCGUGUGCAGAGGAUGCCUGGGCCAACCAGAGGGGUGCUGGCUGCCUUCCGGAACGUUGCUACAGUUACUGUUCCAACUAUGAUUUGAUUUGACUUUUCAGAAACAAAAGAUUUCAUUAGAUACUUGAACUUAAACAUUAUUACCUAAUUCUAACUCCAAAAGUAUAUUUAUUGUGCGAGUUAUUGGAAUACAUAGAUACAUAGAUAGGGCUGUUUUGUUUUGUUUUUUAAAGAAACACUUUGACUAACUCCCAAGCAGGCCUCUUAUUCUGCACAGAGGAUGAUUUUGAACUUCUGAUCUUUCUAUCCCUACUUAUCAAGGUCUGGGGUCACAAAAGGUGCCAUUAUGUGGUACUGGGAUCAAACCCAGGGCAUUGUGAAUUCAGCAAGCACCCUCCCAAAGGAGCAACAACCCAUCCCAAUUUUCAAUAUUUUCAAUGUUGUAAAAUCACAACUGCUUAUUUGUAAAUAAAGAUAGAUAUUGUUUUCGCUUUUUUUUUUUUUAAGGCAGGUACUUACUGUGUAAGCUUUAGCUUGUCUAGAACUCUUUUUGUCAACCAGGCUGGCCUUGAACUCAGAGAUCCACCUGCCUCUGCCUCCUGAGUGCUGAGAUUAAAGGCGUGUGUCACCACCAGGUCAAUUUCUGUAUAUAUAUUUUAAAUUUUGGAAUUGAGGUAGGAAGAUCCCUUGAGGCCAGCAGUUCAAGACCUUAGACAGCAUAACACGACCCUAUCUCAAAAUAAAAAAAUAAAAUAAAAAGAUAAAGAACAAGUAAAUGGCCAUUGUAGCAAAGGCUGCAUCUGUCUGGCUUGGGAUCGGUGACUACAUUUUCCCUUCUUAGUUUUGCCUUUUGAAAUAGGAAUGUCUGCUUAAUGCUGCUCGCUCAUUGUGUUUCAAAAGCAGAUCAUUUAUUUCCUGGUUUCACAGAUCCCCAGAUGGAGAAAGAUUUUGCCCAGGAUGUACUAUGUCCCAAGUCCCAGCCAUCCCGAUUUAGACGAUGAACUUGAAAACUUUCUGAGUUGAUAUUUACAUGAGAUUCUGAACUUGUAGUGCAUAUUGAAAUGGCUUAAAAGACCUUGGGAUAGGCCCCGACGCUUCCAGCUAUGCCGACUCCCUGGGCGCCGGCUUCUCUGUGCUCCUAUCUGAAAAAGACCGCAGGGAUCGGUUUAGUUUUUGGAUCGGGAAUCGUCUUUGCCACAUGAUCACCCAACAGCUUCGUCUUCAUUUCCCCCCCCACCCCCUAUAUGUCACUUUUCCAUUCAUUAAAGAGGAAAGCAAUUUUUAAAAAAUUUUUACUCUUCUCUCAUACUUUAUCCCGACCACAGUUUCCCCUCCCUCUGGCUGGCUUGGGAGGGGACCCCGCCCCGUUCUCCCAGGGACAUCCAUCAAAGAGGAUACAGUGGCGCUGGGCACAAACCCUCCCAUCCCGACUGGAGGUAGUAACCCAGUAGGAGGAAAAGCCAUGCUACUCCAACAUUCUAUCAAGGGCGCUAUAUCCCCAGCCUCCUGUCCUGUUUCUCUACUCUGCCAGCCUUACUCUCCUGGCUUGACUUUUCUUUCCUCAAUCUGUUUCUACGCUGAAGCUUCCCUCAUUAAAAAGCCAAAACCUGACCGAAACCUUUGUCUUAGUUAUUUUUGGGUUACAGGUAUUUUCAUCUGUAUUUGUCACCGUGUUUUCUUCUUUGCCUCGCUCUGCCCUGUCUUUCUUCCCCAAGUCUGCUGCUCCCCACACAUAACACCCCCCCAUCUACGUUCAUAUUCCAUAACCCUCUCUUGAUUCCCUCACGCCAAAAUAUUUUUUUUCUUUUUUCUUUAUUUCGGAGCUGGGGACCGAACCCAGGGUCUUGCACUUGCUAGGCAAGCGCUCUACCACUGAGCUAAAUCCCCAACCCCUUCUUUUUUUUUUAAUGGUUAUUUUUGUCUUUUUUUUUUUUUCCC